Molecule: long non-coding RNA, 216 nt
Filed under: Citrus sinensis (sweet orange)
Lineage: Eukaryota; Viridiplantae; Streptophyta; Magnoliopsida; Sapindales; Rutaceae
Description: long non-coding RNA (CSIN_LNC000588)
Source: RNAcentral
GGAAGUGAUACGUGGGCUGAAGAAUGCUAAUCCAAAGCUCAAGGGGAAAAAUGGAAGUUACAAGCCAGGAACCUAACGAGCAAAGGAGAGAGCACAAUUGGCCCACUUCUGACUAAAAGGCUUAGGAUUGAGAAUACUGAGCCAAGUCCAGAAAAGAAAAGAUAAAAAAUGGGGAGUCCAUGUUAUCCUUUAACCAACGUUAUUAAAACAAAUUCC